GAGAAUGCCGGUGUGAGUAGCGAAAGACGGGUGAGAAUCCCGUCCACCGAUUGACUAAGGUUUCCAGAGGAAGGCUCGUCCGCUCUGGGUUAGUCGGGUCCUAAGCUGAGGCCGACAGGCGUAGGCGAUGGAUAACAGGUUGAUAUUCCUGUACCACCUAUAAUCGUUUUAAUCGAUGGGGGGACGCAGUAGGAUAGGCGAAGCGUGCGAUUGGAUUGCACGUCUAAGCAGUAAGGCUGAGUAUUAGGCAAAUCCGGUACUCGUUAAGGCUGAGCUGUGAUGGGGAGAAGACAUUGUGUCUUCGAGUCGUUGAUUUCACACUGCCGAGAAAAGCCUCUAGAUAGAAAAUAGGUGCCCGUACCGCAAACCGACACAGGUAGUCAAGAUGAGAAUUCUAAGGUGAGCGAGCGAACUCUCGUUAAGGAACUCGGCAAAAUGACCCCGUAACUUCGGGAGAAGGGGUGCUCUUUAGGGUUAACGCCCAGAAGAGCCGCAGUGAAUAGGCCCAAGCGACUGUUUAUCAAAAACACAGGUCUCUGCUAAACCGUAAGGUGAUGUAUAGGGGCUGACGCCUGCCCGGUGCUGGAAGGUUAAGAGGAGUGGUUAGCUUCUGCGAAGCUACGAAUCGAAGCCCCAGUAAACGGCGGCCGUAACUAUAACGGUCCUAAGGUAGCGAAAUUCCUUGUCGGGUAAGUUCCGACCCGCACGAAAGGCGUAACGAUUUGGGCACUGUCUCAACGAGAGACUCGGUGAAAUCAUAGUACCUGUGAAGAUGCAGGUUACCCGCGACAGGACGGAAAGACCCCGUGGAGCUUUACUGUAGCCUGAUAUUGAAAUUCGGCACAGCUUGUACAGGAUAGGUAGGAGCCUUUGAAACGUGAGCGCUAGCUUACGUGGAGGCGCUGGUGGGAUACUACCCUAGCUGUGUUGGCUUUCUAACCCGCACCACUUAUCGUGGUGGGAGACAGUGUCAGGCGGGCAGUUUGACUGGGGCGGUCGCCUCCUAAAAGGUAACGGAGGCGCUCAAAGGUUCCCUCAGAAUGGUUGGAAAUCAUUCAUAGAGUGUAAAGGCAUAAGGGAGCUUGACUGCGAGACCUACAAGUCGAGCAGGGUCGAAAGACGGACUUAGUGAUCCGGUGGUUCCGCAUGGAAGGGCCAUCGCUCAACGGAUAAAAGCUACCCCGGGGAUAACAGGCUUAUCUCCCCCAAGAGUUCACAUCGACGGGGAGGUUUGGCACCUCGAUGUCGGCUCAUCGCAUCCUGGGGCUGUAGUCGGUCCCAAGGGUUGGGCUGUUCGCCCAUUAAAGCGGUACGCGAGCUGGGUUCAGAACGUCGUGAGACAGUUCGGUCCCUAUCCGUCGUGGGCGUAGGAAAUUUGAGAGGAGCUGUCCUUAGUACGAGAGGACCGGGAUGGACAUACCUCUGGUGUACCAGUUGUCGUGCCAACGGCAUAGCUGGGUAGCUAUGUGUGGACGGGAUAAGUGCUGAAAGCAUCUAAGCAUGAAGCCCCCCUCAAGAUGAGAUUUCCCAACUUCGGUUAUAAGAUCCCUCAAAGAUGAUGAGGUUAAUAGGUUCGAGGUGGA
This 1583-nucleotide ribosomal RNA is filed under the name Staphylococcus aureus. RNAcentral describes it as "partial 23S ribosomal RNA". It matches the Rfam family "Bacterial large subunit ribosomal RNA", at positions 1290 to 2871 of the family's 2925-position model. Lineage: Bacteria; Bacillati; Bacillota; Bacilli; Caryophanales; Staphylococcaceae. The record is from RNAcentral.